CCUACGGGGCGCAGCAGUGAGGAAUAUUGGUCAAUGGGCUUACGCCUGAACCAGCCAAGUCGCGUGAGGGAAGACUGCCCUAUGGGUUGUAAACCUCUUUUGUCAGGGAGCAACGCCGGCUACGUGUAGCCGGACUGAGAGUACCUGAAGAAAAAGCAUCGGCUAACUCCGUGCCAGCAGCCGCGGUAAUACGGAGGAUGCGAGCGUUAUCCGGAUUUAUUGGGUUUAAAGGGUGCGUAGGCGGCGCUUCAGGUCAGCGGUGAAAUACCGGGGCUCAACCCCGGGGCUGCCGUUGAAACCGGAGC
This 305-nucleotide ribosomal RNA is filed under the name uncultured bacterium. RNAcentral describes it as "bacterial SSU rRNA". It matches the Rfam family "Bacterial small subunit ribosomal RNA", at positions 338 to 639 of the family's 1533-position model. The record is from RNAcentral.